Molecule: long non-coding RNA, 217 nt
Filed under: Carica papaya (papaya)
Lineage: Eukaryota; Viridiplantae; Streptophyta; Magnoliopsida; Brassicales; Caricaceae
Description: long non-coding RNA (CPAP_LNC005580)
Source: RNAcentral
GAGAUAAUAAAUUAGUAAGAAAAGAAGAAAAAGAAAGGAAAAUGGUGAAGAAGAAAACAUCAAGGUUUCAGUAAGGAAUCUAGUAUUACCUUCAAUGUCUUAAGGAGUAUUUUUAGAUAAGCAAAUAUAAUAUGAUUGUUAUUCUGUCUGUUUUGCAUGCCUCUGUGUUUAAAUUAGUCGAAUUGUUCUGAUUUUCAAGCAUCUAUGUGAAUUACAA